UACGUAGGGCGCAAGCGUUGUCCGGAAUUAUUGGGCGUAAAGAGCUCGUAGGCGGCCACGCACGUCCGUUGUGAAAUCGCCCGGCUCAACUGGGCGGGGUCGGCGGAUACGGCGUGGCUGGAGCAAGCUAGGGGGCAAUGGAAUUCCCGGUGUAGCGGUGGGAUGCGCAGAUAUCAGGAGGAACACCGAUGGCGAAGGCAGGUCACUGGGCCGCAACUGACGCUGAGGAGCGAAAGCAUGGGGAGCGAACAGG
Molecule: ribosomal RNA, 253 nt
Filed under: uncultured bacterium
Lineage: Bacteria
Description: partial 16S ribosomal RNA
Rfam family: Bacterial small subunit ribosomal RNA
Source: RNAcentral